AGAGCGAACGCUGGCGGCAGGCCUAACACAUGCAAGUCGAGCGCCCAUAGCAAUACGGGAGCGGCAGACGGGAUAGUAACACGUGGGAACGCGCCCUUCGGUUCGGAAUAACUCAGGGAAACUUGAGCUAAUACCGAAUACGCCCUUACGGGGAAAGAUUUAUUGCCGAAGGAACGGCCCGCGUCCGAUUAGCUAGUUGGUGAGGUAAUGGCUCACCAAGGCUACGAUCGGUAGCUGGUCUGAGAGGAUGACCAGCAUCACUGGGACUGAGACACGGCCCAGACUCCUACGGGAGGCAGCAGUGGGGAAUAUUGGACAAUGGGCGCAAGCCUGAUCCAGCCAUGCCGCGUGAGUGAUGAAGGCCCUAGGGUUGUAAGCUCUUUUGUGCGGGAAGAUAAUGACGGUACCGCAAGAAUAAGCCCCGGCUAACUUCGUGCCAGCAGCCGC
RNAcentral lists this ribosomal RNA (447 nucleotides) under uncultured bacterium. RNAcentral's name for it is "SSU rRNA". It matches the Rfam family "Bacterial small subunit ribosomal RNA", at positions 26 to 518 of the family's 1533-position model. The record is from RNAcentral.